This 253-nucleotide ribosomal RNA is filed under the name uncultured bacterium. RNAcentral describes it as "partial 16S ribosomal RNA". It matches the Rfam family "Bacterial small subunit ribosomal RNA", at positions 524 to 776 of the family's 1533-position model. The record is from RNAcentral.
UACGGAGGGUGCAAGCGUUGUUCGGAAUUACUGGGCGUAAAGGGCGUGUAGGCGGUUUGGCAAGUCCGAUGUGAAAGCCCUGGGCUCAACUCAGGAAGUGCAUUUGAAACUGCCAUGCUAGAGUAUGGGAGAGGAGAGUGGAAUUCCCAGUGUAGAGGUGAAAUUCGUAGAUAUUGGGAGGAACACCGGUGGCGAAGGCGACUCUCUGGACCAAUACUGACGCUGAGACGCGAAAGCGUGGGGAGCAAACAGG